Mustela lutreola (European mink) is the source of this 1511-nucleotide long non-coding RNA. RefSeq lists it as uncharacterized. Lineage: Eukaryota; Metazoa; Chordata; Mammalia; Carnivora; Mustelidae. The record is from RefSeq and is a predicted model, not a curated record. The transcript has 3 exons.
GGUCUGGAAGGCAGAAGGAGCGCUGCAGCCCCGGCCCCGCACUGAUCCUGAGGCCCUGGCACAGCCCCAGGGGGAAGCGGGUCUGCUUCCGGGAAGGCUCCCCGCGGGCGAGGCCCGUCUUACAGAGUUUAGGAACCAGCUAAGAGACUUAGGUCAGGUCCUCACAGCGCACCGGGCUGGGGUGGGGGGGCUGGGGGGGUGCCAGGGGGUGACCGCACUGACCCACGACCACCCCUCUGGAGGAGGGGGCCACAGUCCCACGAGACUAGAGCACAGCUUGACCCUGAGCUGGGCCGGGGUGGGGGUUAGGGAGUCAGGAUCCGUGCAGUUAGAGGGGAAAACCAAAUGGAGUUAUUUUUAGUCAUCUUUGAACUGAAAUUUAGCAUUUCUUCCCAUUAGCAGGUCUGUAGGCAACGUGCCACAAUAGUAUGAAGAGAAUCUGACUUUGUCAUCAAGAAAAAACACAAAUAUUUUCAUACCAUGUUAGAGUGGUUUGCAGAAACCUCAAAAUAUAUCACUUUGGUUCAUCACUACUUUAACAAGUGAGCCACCCAGGUGCCCCUAUCAUCACUACUUUGAAAUUACAGUAGUUCUCAGGGCCGCUUCAUAUCUUGUAACAUUUUGAUAGCCGUGUUUCAGUACAAAUAUGUUUUAUUUCAUGCAUUUGAAAGAUCCCUCUGGGAAGGGUAAAAACAGAAGGGCCGAGGCGGGGGAGGUUCCUGGCUGGCUCCUCAGUAGGGAACAGGAGUCUCCAUCUUAGGAUUGUGAGUUCAAGCCCCACAUUGGGAACAGAGUUUACCUAAAAAAAGAGAGAGCACAGGGGUCCGUUGACGUCCCCGGUGCAGUUAUGAACCCCUCCUAGGGUGGUUUGAUGACUGAGGGGAUGUGGUGUGGGACCAUGGAUGGGGGUGGUCUCCGGCUCUGGCUCUGCCCCCACCUGGAACUUGCCAUUCCAGAAUCUCGUUCAUCCAUGCCCAAGAGCUCUGCCUGUCUAAGCUCAGUGUGUCCAGCUGGCUCAGCCCACCUCAUCUUGUUCUCUGCUAUCCUGGGACAGAUAAAGACAGGGCCAUCAAGGGCACGGACCAAGAGACAGCAAGGGACAGCACGCAACUGGACCGAGAGGGUUUCUUAGGUACAGACUUGCACACUUGUAUACCUUCACAAAGUGCUAGAAUCACAAAACGGGAGAGAAGGAGCCAUUAGGGGCCUGCUGAUGGAAAGUAACAGGAGAGAGCAUCACCUACGAAUGCUUGGAAAAUAAACUCACCCCCCCAUUGUGACCUUGAGAUCAAGAGUCACUGAGAUCACCCCAGAUGACCUUGAGAUGGUGAGUCAUAUGCUCCAUGGAUUGAGUCAGCCCAGUGCCCUUGAGUGACCCAUUCUUGCACAUUUAGUGAUUUAAUGAUAAUAAUGCCUAGGAUUUGCCCUGGUAAUUCAGUGGGGGAGGGGAGAGACUUGCGGGUCAGGGGAACUGGCAGUCUGUCUGUCCACCUGGGUGACUGCCGCAGAAA